Molecule: ribosomal RNA, 200 nt
Filed under: uncultured bacterium
Lineage: Bacteria
Description: partial 16S ribosomal RNA
Rfam family: Bacterial small subunit ribosomal RNA
Source: RNAcentral
UACGGAGGGUGCAAGCGUUAAUCGGAAUUACUGGGCGUAAAGCGCACGCAGGCGGUUUGUUAAGUCAGAUGUGAAAUCCCAGGGCUCAACCUGGGAACUGCAUCAGAAACUGGCAAGCUUGAGUUUUGUAGAGGGGGGUAGAAUUCCUAGUGUAGCGGUGAAAUGCGUAGAUAUCUGGAGGAAUACCGGUGGCGAAGGCG